UGUCUUGCUCUGUUAAACAUUAUUUGGGAAAUAUUUAAAAAAGAAAAAAAAUCACAGGAGGGCACAGUGGUUACAUGGCAUUGUGUUACAUUAAAUCAAGUUUAUUUUAUUGAUAUAUUGCUUAAUUAAUAGAUAGCAUAAGUAAAGGUUUUUAUGAUUUUUAUGCUGCUAAAAUGUAUUUUAAAGUGAGAAUAAACAUGUUUAUGCUUUAAUCUUAUUUGUGAAGGUCCAAGAAGGGGACCUUCAGUUGUUUAUGAAAAUGAUGGACCUGCAUCAUAUCCCAGUUCUGCUGUGCAGCAUGGGCAACAUCCUCAGAGAGCCUUCACAGCUGUUCCUGAGCCAACUAGUCAUUCAUCAGAUGUAAAACCAUACUAUGUCAACCAGGCAGAGCUUUCCAUCUCAACAAAUGCUGGCAAAAAACGCAAAAAACAAAAGCCAGCCUACCAGUUUAAAAACCCAAUAUACGGAGAAUGAAGCAUCAGAUGUCAGACUGCGAUGACAGUUCUACAGCGCACACAAUUUUAUUACAGACAUUUUUUACUAAACAGUUCAAUAUCUUAAUAAAUGUUGAUGUUCAAUGUC
Non-coding RNA from Danio rerio (zebrafish), 582 nucleotides. The record is from RefSeq and is a predicted model, not a curated record. Lineage: Eukaryota; Metazoa; Chordata; Actinopteri; Cypriniformes; Danionidae.